AUGUUUGUAACUUAAUCUGGAUAAAGUAUUAAACUACGAAUUUAAGCAUGAAAGUUCAAAUCUUUCCAAGCAUU
This 74-nucleotide transfer RNA is filed under the name Thorea hispida. RNAcentral describes it as "tRNA-Arg". It matches the Rfam family "tRNA". From Rfam's summary of the family: Transfer RNA (tRNA) molecules are approximately 80 nucleotides in length. Their secondary structure includes four short double-helical elements and three loops (D, anti-codon, and T loops). The record is from RNAcentral. Lineage: Eukaryota; Rhodophyta; Florideophyceae; Thoreales; Thoreaceae.